This 1436-nucleotide long non-coding RNA is filed under the name Carica papaya (papaya). Its description in RNAcentral is "long non-coding RNA (CPAP_LNC009808)". The record is from RNAcentral. Lineage: Eukaryota; Viridiplantae; Streptophyta; Magnoliopsida; Brassicales; Caricaceae.
UUACCGUAGCAUGUCCAGUCAUCAAAAACAGAUGGGGACUGGGUGUUUUUUGGUUAUGAAGGCUGGCUAGCAGAGCAGAAGUGUCUUCAACGGUGGCUGUGCUUGGCUGCACCUGGCUAGUUUGCCAGUUAUGAAGGCUGGCUGCUGCUGUGAUGUUGGUCCACUGCAUUACGGUUUUUGUAUUCUUUCUUAUUUAUACGAUUAAAGCCGAUUAAGGUUUGUAGAAAAAAGGUUCGGCUAUGUUUUCGAGGAGCUCUAAUACCAUAUGAAAAAAUAUACUGUUUUUUACCGUAGCGUGUCCAGUCAUCAAAUACAGAUGGGACUGGGUGUUUUUUGGUUAUGAAGGCUGGCUAGCAGAGCAGAAGUGUCUUCAACGGUGGCUGUGCUUGGCUGCACCUGGCUAGUUUUCCAGUUAUGAAGGCUGGCUGCUGCUGUGAUGUUGGUCCACUGCAUUACAGUUUUUGUAUUCUUUCUUAUUUCUACGAUUAAAGCCGAUUAAGGUUUGUAGAAAAAAGGUUCGGCUAUGUUUUCGUAGAGCUCUAAUACCAUAUGAAAAAAUAUAUUCUGUUUUUUUACCAUAGCAUGUCCAGUCAUCAAAAACAGAUGGGGACUGGGUGUUUUUUGGUUAUGUAGGCUGGCUAGCAGAGCAGAAGUGUCUUCAACGGUGGCUGUGCUUGGCUGCACCUGGCUAGUUUGCCAGUUAUGAAGGCUGGCUGCUGCUGUGAUGUUGGUCCACUGCAUUACAGUUUUUGUAUUCUUUCUUAUUUCUACGAUUAAAGCCGAUUAAGGUUUGUAGAAAAAAGGUUCGGCUAUGUUUUCGUAGAGCUCUAAUACCAUAUGAAAAAAUAUAUUCUGUUUUUUUACCGUAGCAUGUCCAGUCAUCAAAAACAGAUGGGGACUGGGUGUUUUUUGGUUAUGAAGGCUGGCUAGCAGAGCAGAAGUGUCUUCAACGGUGGCUGUGCUUGGCUGCACCUGGCUAGUUUGCCAGUUAUGAAGGCUGGCUGCUGCUGUGAUGUUGGUCCACUGCAUUACAGUUUUUGUAUUCUUUCUUAUUUAUACGAUUAAAGCCGAUUAAGGUUUGUAGAAAAAAGGUUCGGCUAUGUUUUCGAGGAGCUCUAAUACCAUAUGAAAAAAUAUAUUCUGUUUUUUACCGUAGCGUGUCCAGUCAUCAAAUACAGAUGGGGACUGGUUGUUUUUUGGUUAUGAAGGCUGGCUAGCAGAGCAGAAGUGUCUUCAACGGUGGCUGUGCUUGGCUGCACCUGGCUAGUUUUCCAGUUAUGAAGGCUGGCUGCUGCUGUGAUGUUGGUCCACUGCAUUACGGUUUUUGUAUUCUUUCUUAUUUCUACGAUUAAAGCCGAUUAAGGUUUGUAGAAAAAAGGUUCGGUUAUGUUUUCUUAGAGCUCUAAUACCAUAUGAAAAAAUAUAUUCUGUUUUUU